AAGUCGUAACAAGGUUUCCGUAGGUGAACCUGCGGAAGGAUCAUUAUCGAAUUAGCAAGGGGGUUGAUGCUGGCGAUCUAUGAUUGCAUGUGCUCGCUCUCUUUAAUCCACUUUCACAUGUGCACUUAUUUUUUGAAGGCAAAGGUGGUAAAAGACCUGCCUUUGAAACUCAUAAACUCUUAUUUGAUGUGUUGGGUGUUUGUCUGCCGAUAGGCAAAAUCUUAGUAUAACUUUUAACAACGGAUCUCUUGGCUCUC
Molecule: unclassified non-coding RNA, 257 nt
Filed under: air metagenome
Description: partial contains small subunit ribosomal RNA, internal transcribed spacer 1, and 5.8S ribosomal RNA
Rfam family: Eukaryotic small subunit ribosomal RNA (bases 1-46)
Source: RNAcentral